Ictalurus punctatus (channel catfish) is the source of this 1190-nucleotide long non-coding RNA. The record is from Ensembl. Lineage: Eukaryota; Metazoa; Chordata; Actinopteri; Siluriformes; Ictaluridae.
UUUUGAAGUCAUUGGGCGGCCAUUUUUUUGUGGACCGCUACAAUUACAGAAUGAGGAUAGCGGUAAUUAGCAUCUUUCACGAUUACGUCAACCUCUGAUUUUUGGAAUCUUGGACCAAAUCGUACUUUUGUUCCAACAUUUUCCAUUUCCAUUCCAUUCACUAGGAAAAAAAAAAAAGUCUUAAAUGGUUUGAUUUUUUUUUAAUUGUAUAUUAGCCAUCAUUAGCAUAGAGCUGUGUUCGUGUUCAAUACGUCAAAACUGAAAUUCCAAGACUAGUUCCCUGAAUCCGUGGUAUGUUUAUUACACAGCAGUUAGUUCUCUUGGACGACUGCCAGGUUUGAAAUUUGGUCUGUGAAAUUUGGGCUGUCCGGGACGUCCCCGGAGUUCUGAUUUGAGUUCGUUGUGAUUUGGAUCAUAAUCCAAUUCCUGAGGAAAUUGGAAUAUGAAUGAAUUACAACUGAAAAGCCUCGCUUCAGUUCUGUGAAGAUUAAGGACAGACGUGCUAACGUUUAACACGAAGACAGCUAUUUGCUAAUGCUAGGUAAUAUUAGAUAGAAGCCACAAAAAAAAAAUUUAUUCAAAUUGAAAUGCUUUUUUAUUCUAUAUUAUGGAGCUCAACACUAUUGUUUAAAGUAAACAUACGUGUAGAACGUCUGAGUAUGUGUGUGUUUACGGAAAACGUUGUGACGGACAUGGUAGCUCCAUUAGCCUCAACGCUCCAGCACAAAAUGAAAGAAAAUCAAAAACACAUCUUUGUCACAAGCGGGAAAACGCUCACGUUUUUCCACCAAAGCAUUAUUUUUUCCCCCUUUAAAAAAAAAAAAAAGUGUAAAGCAUUAUUUCUGGAGCUGUACCUCUUCUGCACAUGCUCCUGCUGUGAAUGUACUUCACAUCCAUCUGUCGGGAUUUCACACUCUCACGUUGAUGGUCGUUUUUUUGUUUUAUUUUAUUUAAAGAGAACAGACUGCACACGGAGGACCGCCGUGUCACUCCGGCGCUCCUGUACAAACCUUCCUGUCGCUGCCUGGCCCGAUUUCUGCUGACUGAUGACUCCAUCAAUCGCUUCGGUAGCUUUGCCUGCUCUUAAUUAAACUCGCCAUCGUGUGUGUGAUUAUAAGAUGCAAACGUUUACAUUCUGGGUUUCAUGCAAUUUUAUUCUAAAAAUGCAGCCAAUGAAAACAUUAAAAAAA